Long non-coding RNA from Catharus ustulatus (Swainson's thrush), 2122 nucleotides. RefSeq lists it as uncharacterized. The transcript has 2 exons. Lineage: Eukaryota; Metazoa; Chordata; Aves; Passeriformes; Turdidae. The record is from RefSeq and is a predicted model, not a curated record.
AAUUAAUAAAGAUAUUGUUGUUAUGCUAUGACAGGCGGUCUAGCCAGAGCUGUGCGACACAAAGCCGCGGAGCUUACCUAAAUAUUUCGUAGAGAACUUAAGAGCUGCUCCUUGGAACUUGGUUUCGUGACCGUUUCUCUGGGAACCCUGUUCCAGUGACUGACCACCCUCUGAGUGAAGCACCUUUUGCUGAUCUGGCUCCAGUUGGAUCUUCUCCUGAUGGAGCUUCAUUCCAUUUCCUCAUGUCCUGUCACUGGUCACCAGAGAGAUCAGAUCAACACCUUCCUCUCUACUGCUCUUCUUGUGGAAAUUGAAGACUGAGAUGAGGUCUGCCCUCAGCCUUUUCUUCUCCAAGCUCCAACAAACCAAGAAAGGCAGAUUCUCCCUGCCUUUCAACCUUUUCUGAAUGUUCUGUAGUAGUUUCAUGCUCUUCUUACAUCAAAGACAGUGAUAUAAAUGUGAAAUCACUAGAUCAAUUUCUACAGUGGUGUGAUAUGAUAAGGAUGCUUUUUCUUAAGAGCCUAAUGGAACAGAUAACUUCACUUGGAUAGAAUCUCAUUCCUGGCAUAAAUUCAUUGACAUCAGUAGGCUGUCAUUAGAAACGGAUCUUCCACUUACUUAAAAUCUGUUUUAAAUUUAUAAAACUUUACAUUUUUGUCUACUAAAAGUAGUUUCAGCAUAUUCCAGCCUGCUUUAUUGAUUUCAAGAUUACUUUUGGAAAUAAAGGUGAUGAAUACGUCAGCCAACUCAGUCAGUAAAACCCCCACUUUUAAUAUCUGUCAUCCAGUGUGUGUGGUUAUUUCCAAAAUUCAAGCAACAAACUGAUAAACUAAGAAUGCAUUAGACACAGAAGGGGUGCACAAAAAAUUAUAUUGAUUUCAUUAAAACAUUAUGAUUCCAAUCUAACAUCAUACACAAUCAGUAAAACUAAUUUUGUUAAGCAAAAUAUGCAAGAAUUAAAAUUCUUAGAGCAAAACUAUCUUUGCUUAGUUGCACAUAUUUUUCAUUUUAAAGUAAAUAUGUAAAGAGAAAUGGGACUAUUACAAACUGUAAUUUUAAAGUUUAGCUAAGUUUAAAUAGCAAUAGAAUAGUCAUUCCAGCAUGCUUUAGUAUUUAAUGUAAAUUCUCCCUGCCAACUCCCCAAAUUAACUUAUUGUGCUCUUUUAAGAAUUCAACAUUUUAUAAAGAUGAAACAUUUGGUACAAUUUUUAACAAUUUAAGUAAACAGUAGAAGAUGAUCAUUCUAGGAAAUGAACAUGUUAAGGGUUGUUUUUCAGUUUUUAGUGUGUAACUGUACUAGUCACAAUUUAGGCGGUAGCCACAUGUGGUUCUGCCAAAUUCAAAGAUAUUAUUCGGUAUCAAACCCUUAAAGAUUUUGUGCAGUUACCCAGAUGCCCAUUCACCUGAAUAGUCUUUAUUCACAUAUGGGAUCGUAUUCAACACAAUUUUUUACAAAUAAUCAAAACACUAAAGUGUUGCAAAAAGAGUAUCUUCUCUUGUAUUUUUGCACAAUCUUCUACACAGGUAAAUAUUCUGAAGAAACUAUUUAAAUUGUUUAUUAUGUACAGCAAUAAUUUCCUGUGAAACAUUUUGUUUUCUUAUUUUCACAACAACAUACAUUAUUUUUAAUCCUUAUAAUCUGAUGUUCCAUUGUUCUUGAAAUACUGCUUUGUUGAUCAGGUUUCUUAUACUUUGCAAAUGUAUAGAAAAUUUCAAUACCUCAAACUUUUGUCUUUGUCAAGUCUCACUUUUUUCAAUUACAUAUCUUUUGGAGUUUGUGGGUAAGUUAUUCAUUAUUACAUUGUCAUUGGGGGACUGGAUUGCACUAUCUCCAAAGAUCAUGUCUUACAUAAGAAUGGUUCAAAGCCAUUUCUCUCAUUGUUACAAUUGUCACAUCAGUGAAAGAAAACAGUCAGCAUUCCAUGAACAUUUCAUUUGUUUAGAGUCUCUAAGAUUUCCCAGGAGAAUAAAUCAUAUAAUCAAGCAAAAAUGUUUGGUGUGAUCAAUUCUGCAACACAGCAUUACUUUUUCUGGAAAGUCAUUUAUGAAAGAAUUAACUGUGUCCAUGUUAUUCAGUGUUGUUUACAUACCUUAAUAAAACAUGAUGACAGCAGGCAUUGGU